CGGCGUGCCUAAUACAUGCAAGUCGAACGGUCUUUCUAUGGAAGCUUGCUUCCACUGAGAAGAUAGUGGCGAAACGGGUGAGUAACACGUGGGGUAACCUGCCCAUAAGAGGGGGGAUAACAUCCGGAAACGGGUGCUAAUACCGCAUAGUUUUCUUGAUCGCAUGAUCGGGAAAGGAAAGACGGCCUUUGUGCUGUCGCUUAUGGAUGGACCCGCGGCGUAUUAGUUAGUUGGUGAGGUAACGGCUCACCAAGACGAUGAUACGUAGCCGACCUGAGAGGGUGAUCGGCCACAUUGGGACUGAGACACGGCCCAAACUCCUACGGGAGGCAGCAGUAGGGAAUCUUCUGCAAUGGACGAAAGUCUGACGGAGCAACGCCGCGUGAGUGAAGAAAAGGUUUUCGGAUCGUAAAACUCUGUUGUCAGAGAAGAACAAGUUGGAGAGUAACUGCUCCAGCCUUGACGGUAUCUGACCAGAAAGCCACGGCUAACUACGUGCCAGCAGCCGC
RNAcentral lists this ribosomal RNA (509 nucleotides) under uncultured bacterium. Its description in RNAcentral is "bacterial SSU rRNA". It matches the Rfam family "Bacterial small subunit ribosomal RNA", at positions 40 to 518 of the family's 1533-position model. The record is from RNAcentral.